UGGGAAUCUUGGACAAUGGGGGCAACCCUGAUCCAGCCAUGCCGCGUGAGUGAUGAAGGCCUUAGGGUCGUAAAGCUCUUUCGCCUGUGGAAGAUAAUGACGGUAGCAGGUAAAGAAACCCCGGCUAACUCCGUGCCAGCAGCCGCGGUAAUACGGAGGGGGUUAGCGUUGUUCGGAAUUACUGGGCGUAAAGCGCACGUAGGCGGACCAGAAAGUUGGGGGUGAAAUCCCGGGGGCUCAACCCCGGAAACUGCCUCCAAAACUAUUGGUCUAGAGUUCGAGAGAGGUGAGUGGAAUUCCAAGUGUAGAGGUGAAAUUCGUUAGAUAUUUGGAGGAACACCAGUGGCGAAGGCGGCUCACUGGCUCGAUACUGACGCUGAGGUGCGAAAAGUGUGGGGAGCAAAACAGGAUUAGAUACCCUGGUAGUCCACACCGUAAAACGAUGAAAUGCCAGUCGUCGGGUAGCAUGCUAUUCGGUGACACACCUAACGGAUUAAAGC
Molecule: ribosomal RNA, 500 nt
Filed under: uncultured bacterium
Lineage: Bacteria
Description: bacterial SSU rRNA
Rfam family: Bacterial small subunit ribosomal RNA
Source: RNAcentral